RNAcentral lists this ribosomal RNA (270 nucleotides) under uncultured archaeon. Its description in RNAcentral is "partial 16S ribosomal RNA". It matches the Rfam family "Archaeal small subunit ribosomal RNA", at positions 477 to 747 of the family's 1478-position model. The record is from RNAcentral.
CAGCACCUCAAGUGGUCAGGAUGAUUAUUGGGCCUAAAGCAUCCGUAGCCGGCUCUGUAAGUUUUCGGUUAAAUCUGUACGCUCAACGUACAGGCUGCCGGGAAUACUGCAGAGCUAGGGAGUGGGAGAGGUAGACGGUACUCGGUAGGAAGGGGUAAAAUCCCUUGAUCUAUUGAUGACCACCUGUGGCGAAGGCGGUCUACCAGAACACGUCCGACGGUGAGGGAUGAAAGCUGGGGGAGCAAACCGGAUUAGAUACCCGAGUAGUCC